Molecule: long non-coding RNA, 196 nt
Organism: Colius striatus (speckled mousebird)
Lineage: Eukaryota; Metazoa; Chordata; Aves; Coliiformes; Coliidae
Exons: 3
Source: RefSeq, a predicted model, not a curated record
AGAAGAAGAAACCUUGGGAAAACAGAGGAAAACUGUGGUUUUCUUGGGUGUCAAGUGCUUGGAGUCAUCAAGCCACCAUCUAAGACACUCUUGCUCUGUCCAUUGUCCAGUUACUCAUAACCGAGAUAAUUCUCUGAACAGCUGCAAAGGUGCUGGGAAAUGCCACCUGAAAUUGGAAGGCACGAUCAAGUUUUGA